RNAcentral lists this ribosomal RNA (504 nucleotides) under uncultured bacterium. RNAcentral's name for it is "partial 16S ribosomal RNA". It matches the Rfam family "Bacterial small subunit ribosomal RNA", at positions 28 to 507 of the family's 1533-position model. The record is from RNAcentral.
GACGAACGCUGGCGGCGUGCCUAAUACAUGCAAGUAGAACGCACAGUUUAUACCGUAGCUUGCUACACCAUAAACUGUGAGUUGCGAACGGGUGAGUAACGCGUAGGUAACCUGCCUGGUAGCGGGGAUAACUAUUGGAAACGAUAGCUAAUACCGCAUACUAUUAAUUAUUGCAUGAUAAUUGAUUGAAAGAUGCAAUUGCAUCACUACCAGAUGGACCUGCGUUGUAUUAGCUAGUAGGUGAGGUAACGGCUCACCUAGGCGACGAUACAUAGCCGACCUGAGAGGUGAAUCGGCGACGCUGUGACUGAGACGCGGCCCAGACUCCUACGGGAGGCAGCAGUAGGGAAUCUUCGGCGAUGGACGAGAGUCUGACCGAGCAACGCCGCGUGAGUGAAGAAGGUUAUCGGAUCGUAAAGCUCUGUUGUAAGGGAAGAACGGGUGUGAGAGUGGAAAGUUCACACUGUGACGGUAUCUUACCAGAAAGGGACGGCUAACUACGUG